RNAcentral lists this ribosomal RNA (535 nucleotides) under uncultured marine bacterium. RNAcentral's name for it is "bacterial SSU rRNA". It matches the Rfam family "Bacterial small subunit ribosomal RNA", at positions 56 to 638 of the family's 1533-position model. The record is from RNAcentral.
UGCAGUCGAACGCAGUAGCAAUACUGAGUGGCAAACGGGUGAGUAUAAUGUGGGAAUCUGCCUUUUGGUUCGGAAUAACACGAGGAAACUUGUGCUAAUACCGGAUAAGCCCUUACGGGGAAAGUUUUAAUGCCAAAAGAUGAGCCCGCACUUGAUUAGCUAGUUGGUAAGGUAAAAGCUUACCAAGGCAACGAUCAAUAGCUGUUCUUAGAGGAAGACCAGCCACAUUGGGACUGAGACACGGCCCAGACUCCUACGGGAGGCAGCAGUGGGGAAUCUUGCACAAUGGGGGAAACCCUGAUGCAGCGAUGCCGCGUGAGUGAAGAAGGCCCUUGGGUUGUAAAACUCUUUCGUCGGGGAAGAAAAUGACUGUACCCGAAUAAGAAGGUCCGGCUAACUUCGUGCCAGCAGCCGCGGUAAUACGAAGGGACCUAGCGUAGUUCGGAAUUACUGGGCUUAAAGAGCUCGUAGGUGGUUAAAAAAGUUGAUGGUGAAAUCCCAAGGCUCAACCUUGGAACUGCCAUCAAAACUUUUU